UAAUAAGAAAUAAAAUAUUAUAGUUAGUUUCGACCUAAAAUUUUGAUGUCCUCAUCCUUAUUUU
Molecule: transfer RNA, 64 nt
Filed under: Staphylinidae sp. BMNH 1274674
Lineage: Eukaryota; Metazoa; Arthropoda; Insecta; Coleoptera; Staphylinidae
Description: tRNA-Arg
Source: RNAcentral